Long non-coding RNA from Thalassophryne amazonica, 135 nucleotides. RefSeq lists it as uncharacterized. NCBI's taxonomy places the organism in Eukaryota, Metazoa, Chordata, Actinopteri, Batrachoidiformes, Batrachoididae. The record is from RefSeq and is a predicted model, not a curated record. The transcript has 3 exons.
AAUGAAUUAAGAAAAAGAGAGGGACAGAAGGCUGGAUGUUGUGGAGAGAGGAAAUCGGGAAGUGCAACAGAUUAGUGAGGAUGAAGAGAGGACAGCUAUGAAGAGGAUGCAGAGUGUAAAGGCAAUUUGUCCAAG